GCGUGCAGGAUGAAGGCCUUCGGGUUGUAAACUGCUUUUGUACGGAAUGAAACGGCCACCUCUAAUAAAGGUGGCUAAUGACGGUACCGUAAGAAUAAGCACCGGCUAACUACGUGCCAGCAGCCGCGGUAAUACGUAGGGUGCGAGCGUUAAUCGGAAUUACUGGGCGUAAAGCGUGCGCAGGCGGUUAUAUAAGACAGAUGUGAAAUCCCCGGGCUCAACCUGGGACCUGCAUUUGUGACUGUAUAGCUAGAGUACGGUAGAGGGGGAUGGAAUUCCGCGUGUAGCAGUGAAAUGCGU
RNAcentral lists this ribosomal RNA (300 nucleotides) under uncultured bacterium. RNAcentral describes it as "bacterial SSU rRNA". It matches the Rfam family "Bacterial small subunit ribosomal RNA", at positions 399 to 691 of the family's 1533-position model. The record is from RNAcentral.